This 440-nucleotide ribosomal RNA is filed under the name uncultured bacterium. RNAcentral's name for it is "partial 16S ribosomal RNA". It matches the Rfam family "Bacterial small subunit ribosomal RNA", at positions 338 to 795 of the family's 1533-position model. The record is from RNAcentral.
CCUACGGGGUGCAGCAGUGGGGAAUAUUGCACAAUGGGGGAAACCCUGAUGCAGCGACGCCGCGUGAGUGAAGAAGUAUCUCGGUAUGUAAAGCUCUAUCAGCCGGGAAGAAAAUGACGGUACCUGAUUAAGAAGCCCCGUCUAACUACGUGCCAGCAGCCGGGGGAAUACGUAGGGGGCAAGCGUUAUCCGGAUUUACUGGGUGUAAAGGGAGCGUAGACGGCAGCACAAGUCUGGAGUGAAAUGCCGGGGCCUAACCCCGGAACUGCUUUGGAAACUGUGCAGCUAGAGUGCAGGAGAGGUAAGUGGAAUGCGUAGUGUAGCGGUGAAAUGCGUAGAUAUUAGGAGGAACACCAGUGGCGAAGGCGGCUUACCGGACUGUAACUGACGUUGAGGCUCGAAAGCGUGGGGAGCGAACAGGAUUAGAUACCCUAGUAGUC